Non-coding RNA from Cricetulus griseus (Chinese hamster), 70 nucleotides. Lineage: Eukaryota; Metazoa; Chordata; Mammalia; Rodentia; Cricetidae. The record is from Rfam.
GGAGAGAUGGCUCAGUGGUUAAGAGCACUGGCUGCACUUCCAGAGGACCUGGGUUCAAUUCCCAGCACCC